GACUCUGCGGGCUCUCCCGCUGAACAGGAGCGAGAGCGCGAAAGAGGGGGAAACGGGAAAAAAAUCCCCCCGCCCGUGCCUGGCGCGGCGGCGGCCGGGGCGGUGCGGAGAGGAGCGCGGAGGCGCCGCCGCCGCCGCCACGGGGCACCAUCCCCGGCUCGGCCUCACGGUGGCGGUGCGGGCGCGGCGGGGACACCGAGCAAGAGACCGGGUCUGCGCCCGCCGCGAUCCCUGCGCACCACGGCCCUGCCCGCCACGGGGCGAGCCCGAUAAGAGGGCUGUGGACGUUCGGGUCUAGUUGGGAGAGACAGGGGUCCCUGACUCUUGAGCGGUGCCUGCACGACUCCCAGAAAGUCGCGUCUCCCCUAACCCCCAUGCCCAGGACCUGAGGACAAAGGUCUAGCGAUUGUCCAUCCCCUCCCCCAGUGAGGACAGCCGGGAAAGACCUGCCUUUGUUGUGUACAGGUGGUAUCUCACUGUGUUAUCCAGACUGGACUCAAAUUUCUGGGCUCCAAUGGUCCUCUCACCUCAGCCUCCCAAGUAGUCAGGACUACAGUGUUGCUGUCCUCAUUUUACAGAUGAAGAAACUGAGGCCCCAGAUCACAGGGCUGGUGAGAAGAACGUGAUAUCUCCAGAGCUAACACUUAACUACUAUAGUGUACCACACAAGGAGAGAGCAGCAUUAGAGAGGGGUGCCACUUCCUCUGAUGGAAGAUAAAAAAGAAAGAUUGCCAGCCUGGGCAACAUAGUGAGACCCUGUCUCUACAAAAAAUAAAAAUAAAAAAAUUAGCUAGGUGUGGUGGCAUGUGCCUGUAGUCCUAGCUACUUGGGAGGCUGAGGUGGGAGGAUUGCUUGAGCCCAAGAGUUUGAGGUUGCAGUGGGCUAUGAUUGUGCCACUGCACUCCAGCCUGGGCAACAGAGCGAGACCCUGUGUCUAAAAAAAGAAACAAAUAAGAUAAAAGGAAAGGCCGAACUAAACUCAGAUUUCUAAAGGCAAUGCCCUAUCCUGCCGGGCUGGAGGAAAUCCAACUGCAGCCUUUACUGUGGUUCUUCCUGGGAACUUUACAAAACUUCUGCCAUCUUACGGACCCCACAAUCUGGAGAAAGCCCCCGUGCAUAUGAGUCUGUAUUGAAACCACUGAGAUGCUGUGCCAGUUAAGAAUGUAUGAGCCAUACAUACAAGAAACCUGCCUGAUAGCGGCUUAAGCUAAAAAGUGAUUAUUUAGUUAUUUCACACAGCAAGAGGUCUAGAGGCAGGCAGUCCUCAGAGUGGUUUCAUAGUUCCCUGAUGUAUCCAAGCAUUUAGGAACUUUCCAUCCUUCCAUUCCAUCGUCCUCAGUGUAUGGGCCUUUUACCCUAGGCUUGCUACCUCAUAGUCACACCAUGGCUGCCAGAGCUGCAGAGCUCACAAAACCAUCUUCAGGGCAGGUAGCAGGUGCAGACCACCUGUAUCUUCUUCCCAGACUUCUCCCAAGUUCUCUUGGGCAGGACUGAGUCCUAAAUCGAUCCCUAGCAAAGGGAAAAUCAGCACAUUUGGUUUAGGGCUUUCAUGGGUCACCUUCUGGAGCUGGGGGAAAGGCCACCUUCCCAAGCAAGCUGCAUCUAGAAUAAAAUGUGAGUUCUUUAAGGAAGAUGGGAGAAUGGCUGUUGGGUGGGUAACCAACACGUCUGUCUCAGAAGACCACUGACCCAGUCCACAGGGCUCUUUGGGGUCCAUGGUCUGCUGCCCCAGGCCACACUCCGGACACAGAAAUUUCAGCCAAAACCAGGAGCCCUGGUCUUAGGGUCCAGCCUUCCCGGGCACACCCAGCAGCUCCUUCCUGGGCUUUGCCAGGGUGUUGUGGGGAGCUGGCACCGUCCCAAAUGAAUAUGGGGACUCAUGGGCUUCAAACUCCUUCUGGUCAGGAGAAACCUCCUAUCUAAGCCACAGUGCUUCCCAACCACACUUCCCUCUCUCAUCCCCCACCUUGUCCCAUCCCAGGGUCCUGGCCAAAUAUUCUCAAUAGUGAGACCUUUGGGAACACAGAGAGGAAUGUAUUGUGGCAGCUCCUUCUCUUGGCCAGUUAACACAAACUUGUCCCAAGGUGUGGCUACCUUUGUGCCUAUGGUGGCCGGGGGCUCAGGGGCAGUAACACAGGGAGCAAAAAACACAAAUUCAUCUCCAUAGUGCCCGUGCCACACUGGCAGCAGGAAGAAUGGUGCAGUGGUAAAUUGGAGACCUGAGCCCUCGCCCUACUCUGGGCCUAAGUGUCUUCAUCAGUAAAAUUGUUUAGAGGGACCACAGUAGGGCAGGGAUGGAGGAGUUCCACCCAUUCUGCAAACUAGAUAUAGAGGCCUCCACCAAUUCCCUAACACAGGGUUCCCCAACCCCCAGGCAGGGGGCCGAUACCUGUCUGUGGCCUGUUAGGAACGAGCUGCAUAGCUGGAGGUGAGCCGCAGGUGAGUAUUACAGCCUGAGCUCUGCCUCCUGCCAGAUCAGUGGCGGCACAAGAUUCUCAUAGGAGCACGAACCCUAUUGUGAACUGCACAUGCAAGGGAUCCAGGUUGCACGUUCCUUAUGAGAAUCUAAUGCCUGAUGAUCUGAAGUGGAACAGUUUCACCCAAAACCAUUCCCCACCCAAAACCUUUCCAUCCAUGGAAAAGUUGUCUUCCACAAAACCAGUCCCUGGAGCUAAAAACGUUGGGGAGUGCUGCCCUAGCAAAAUGCCCCAGUCAGGUCCAUUUCUACCCAGAUGGUGAGGUUGGGCGGUCCAGAGGAGCGGGCCCUGAUGAGUGUGUGGGCGUCCAGGUGCAGUGCUGGAAGUUUCCAGCCUGGCUCCAUGAUCAUAGAGGGUGGGGCUGGGGGGUUUGUUAGGAAUUGACAGAGGAUACCUAAAGCCUCAUUUCAGUAGCUAGAACAGCCUCAUUCCAAUAGCUCAUAACUGGGGUCCACAAACUAUAGAAUUCAGGGGUCUGUGCACUUGGAUUGGAAUAGAAUACAACUUUAUUUUCAGUCAUUUCUAUUUCCUUGGUUAUGAACAAAGGUAGCAAAGUGCAGUUGUAUCAGCAGUGCCAAUAGAAAUUACAGAGUUUUUCAUAUCCCUUUACAGUUUGCCACAGGUAUCUAUCUUAAAAUAUUGUUUACACUCAUCUCUCUUCAGUUUACCAUUGUUUAAUAGGCCUACCCUCGAUCUUUUUAUUCAAUAUGUUAAUAAAGAAACCUAUACACAUAGUAUCACGUUAUACAUUUUAAAAAUAUUUUGACAACUGUAUAUAAAUAUAACUAGCUUACUUUGUAAUCCUACAUAUUUUAUGUGUAUGAAAAUAUUAUUCUGAAAUUAGCCAGGCAUGGUGGUGCAUGCCUAUAGUCCCAGCUACUUGGGAGGCUGAGGUGGGAGGAUCACCUGAACCCAGGGAGGUCGAGGCUACAGUGAGCUGUGAUUGCACCACUGCACUCCAGCCUGGGUAAUGGAGUGAGACCCCAUCUCAAAAGAAAAGAAAAGAAAAUAUGAUUUUGAGAAGCGAUCCAUGGCACAAAAAAUGGCCAAGAGCCCCUGACUGAGAGGGGCCCUGUUGACACUCACAUGCCACCCGCCCAGAGUGAGGGCAGCUGCCCAGCUGAGCAGGGACCCCGCAGGAGGAACCAGAGCAGGAGAAUCCCUGGCACCACCCUUGCUCCAGUACACACCCAUGGGUGCUCAAUGAAGAAGUGAGGACAACUUGCUGCCAUCUUCAGUUUGAUGGAAUGGCCUUAGGCCUCUGCUGCCGAUUGUGAAAUCAUCGGCCUCUUACCUAAAAGCUCAGGAGGAUUUAGGGGGAAUGCAGAUAGAGCACAUGAGUUCACUGUGUAAUGAAGGAAGGGGAGCCUCCCAGCAUUAGAUCUUAGGGAAUUGUUCAAAUUUAAGGAAGCAAAAGCCAAGAGUUGGGAGGAGAGGCAGGGAGAGAUUCCUCCCUCCUCAGCUGUAGCUAUAGCAUUGCUUGGGGCCAUGGAAAAACAGUUUUCCACACCCUAGCAGACAGCAAAAGCUAUUUCAAUGUGCCAAGUGAAAGUUGAGCCAUGCCCUCAUCCAAACUAGCCCCCAGCCUCACGCAGGCAGCUCCGGGCACCCGUGCACACUGGGUUCACCCUUACGGAGCUGUUCCUCCAUCAGGCAGCUCUGGGCACUGGUGCACACUGGGCUUGCCCUUACGGGGGCUAUUCCUCCAUUUCUGUCUCCCCUUGUGCUGCCCCUCACUGGGGGCAGCACCACCCCAAUCCACGCCAGGCAAGCCCUGCCCUGGGACACCGCUGCUGUCUGUUUUCAUGGAUGACUCAGGCCCCAGCAAAGAUACUCUUUGUUCCUCAAAAGAGGGAAUGGAGGGUACACUUGCUCUUAGGAAAUGUCCCCCACCUUGCAGUCUGGCUUCCUGAUCUCUCUCUGUUAAGAUCUUUUAAGCCACCCCAUCAGCCACAGAACGAAGCGCAUCCACCAAGAAUACCUGAGCCCACAUCUCCCCCUCCCUCGCCCCGCCAGCUCCUCUGCCCCCCACAGCAGGAGAAUGGACUUGUUUCCUAUUACACAGGCCAUGUGCCCACUGGGCAAGACCCAAACCCGUGGAACCCCCACUCCCUCUACUCCCCACCCCCUCCACCCCCCACCUUGCACUGCUGAGCACCUCCACCGCCUUUUGAAGAAACUUCACAGAUUUGAGAAAACUCUGUGGGAGGGGCUGAGGUUUAAUUCCGGAGUGGGGAUGGCCUAGGAGGACACCAGAGGAUGAAGCGGGGGGUGGGGUCUGGGAGUCUGAAAUAAUAGAGAUUUUCAGGAGAGCAGCUCAAAGGUACAGCCCAGGGCCGCCCACUUCUGCUUCCUGCUGGGCUCUCUGCCACCUUCCAUAUGACAUUGGCCUGGUCGGGGCAAAGAAGUGACCGACAGGCCCCUGGGACAUCUUUCACUCAUUAUUCAUUCACGCACAGGUAUUUGCUCACAGUGGGCAAUGGGAAGGGGAGGCCAAACCACACACUAAAUGCUGCCCACAGAGGGCCUGCAGCCCAGGGGGGAUGAUGGAGAACAGCUGCCUGGAGGGAGGCCUAAGGUAGAGCCUUGAAGGCCAAGGAGAAUGGAGAGGAGAAUGGAGGGCCUUCCACGCACGGGCACUAAAAGAAGGCCAAGCCUACUUGGGGAGAGGCAAUAUCGGGACCUGUGCACUGGGCUGCACUGGGCAAAAAAGGCUAUGUGUGUCAUGCUGUUGGGAGAAAAUGGGUCCUGCGGUUAAGUACAUCUGGGAAGUUCUGGAUUAAAUGAGGAACGGAUCUCUUUACUGCAGGACUUGUCAAGACCUUUAACCUGUGAAUGCAGAAUGAACCUUACGGUGGAUCCCAGGACUGGUGUCCCACACUGACAUAAGGACUAGCUAGGGGAGGCAGUGGGAGCUGAUGAGAUUAGAGAGAACACAAGGGGUUUUGAAUGCCAGGCCAAGAAGGAAGGCUAGACUUUUUCCUUGGGGCAGUGAGAAUUCUCAGGAGGCUUAGAGGGAUGUAGACUCAGGGAACCUGGGGCAGUUUUAGUAACCAGCGAGGCCAGGGCUGUGGCAAGACUAGCCAGUCCCAGUCAAGGACUCCCCAGCUCCUUGACAGCAGGGCCAUUCUGUGGGAGAGAAAACAGAGACCAUGGACACAGUCAGCAGUAAGGGUCUCAGACUGGCGUGAAGAGGGAAGGCUGGGCAACCCUUGAAUCCAAGCUGGGUACAGUGCUCAAGCCUACUUGGGUUCCAAUCUGACUCCACCACUUCCUAGCUGUGGGUGUCUGACCCAAUGUCUCUGUGUCCUCAGGGUAUUUGUUUUUUUUGUUUUUUUGAGAUGGAGUCUCACUCUGUCACCCAGGCUGGAGUGCAGUGGUGUGAUCUCAGCUCACUGCAACCUCCACCUCCCAGGUUCAAGCAAUUCUGCCUCAGCCUCCCGAGUAGUUUGGGAUUACAGGCAUGCACCACCAAGCCCAGCUAAUUUUUGUAUUUUUGGUAGAGAUGGGGUUUCACCAUGUUGGCCAGGCUGGUCUUGAACUCCUGACCUCAAGUGAUCCGCCCACCUCAGCCUCCCAAGGUGCUGGGAUUACAGGCGUGAGCUACUGCGACCGGCCUGUGGUUUAUUUUUUAGAGCAGUUUUAGGUUGGUAGAAAGUAUAGAGGUUCCCACCUACUUCCUCCCCUUCUCUCUCCUCAGUUUUCUUGAUGAGUAACAUCUUGCAUUAGUGUGGCACAAUUGUUACAAUUUAUGAACCAAUACUGAUACAUUAUUAUUAACUGAAGUCCAUAGUUUACUUGAGGGUUCACUCUGUGUUAUCCAGUCCUACAGAUGGUAACAAAUGCACAAUAGGUAUCCACCAUUACAGUAUUAUACAGAAGAGUUUCAAGGCCUUAAAAAUGCUGUCUGGGCCUGCAGGGUGGCUCAUGCCUAUAAUCCCAGCACUUUGGGAGGCCAAAGUGGGAGGAUCACUUGAGUCCAGAAGUUCAAGAUCAGCCUGGGCAACAUAGAGAAACCCCGCCUAUACAAAAAAGAAAAAAAAUGUUUUAAUUAGCCACCUGCAGUCCUGGUGCACCUGGGUGGCACAGACCUGUAGUCCCAGCUACUUAGGAGGCUGAGGUGGGAGGAUGGCUUGAGCCCAGGAGGCUGAGGUUGCAGUAAGAUGUAAUUGUGCCACUGAACUCCAGCCCGGGUGACAGAGCCAGACCCUGUCUCAAACAAACAAACAAAAAAAAGCUUUCUGAGCCUCAGUUUUAACACCUGUAAGAUGAGUGUGAAACUCCAUCUGAAGCCCCCCAGUCUCCUCCUAUAGGUUUUUGAUUUAGGCCUCCCAACAAAUCAAGUAUGACUGAAAUCCACUAAAUGUCUCGAACUAUGGUCUGAUAUCCAUCAGAAUCACUAGGCUUGGGUCAGGGCGAGAGGUCCUCAUUCAAAUGCACAUUCUAAGGUCUCAACUGCAGACCUGCUGAGUCACAAGCCCUGGGGUGGGGCCCAGGAAUCUGCAUUUUAACAAGUCCCCUGGUGCACAAGGAAAUUUGAGACCCACUGUGCCCGACAGCUUGUGCACAUGGAAAUUUGUUCUGCCAAAGUUUCUCAGAUAAAAACAGAGAGGUUCUAGCCACUGUCAGGUCAAAGCUCUGGAGAGCUGUGCCAUCUCCCAAAGGGAGCAGAACGGUUUGCCAUCAAGCCAGGCAAGAGCCCAUUUCUGCCUGUGCAGCUCGCAGUCUCCGAGCCUGCUGUUGUUUCAUAUCUUGAUUGCUUAUCACUCACCCAAAAUAACCUGAAUGCAAUCGCACCAGCUGCAGCUCUCUCUGCAACUCCCUUAAUUUAGCAGCCAAACACAUUGGGUUCCUUCACAGAGCACAAGGCCUCAGCACGGGGCCCAGGAAGGGGCCCCUCCCUCCCAGCUGUCUGUAGUGAGUUGAAUCAUUUCCCCCUGGAAUUCAUGUCCACCUGGAACCUGAGAAUGUGACUUUAUUUGGAACUAGAGUAUUUGCAGGUUUAAUUAAUAAGGAUCAAGAUAAGAUCACACAGGAUUAGGGUGGGCCCUAAAUCCAAUGACUGUUGUUAAAAGAGGAGAGAACAGAAGAGACAGAGACUGGAGUGAUGCAGCAAUAAGCUGGGGAAUGCCACGGACUGCCCACUGCCGCCACAAGCUAAAAAGAGCCAAGGAAGGAUUCUUCCCCAGAGCCUUCAAAGGGACCACAGCCCUGCCAACACCUCCAUCCCAGAUUUCCAGCCUCCAGAACUGUAAGGGAAUCAAGUUCUGCUGUUUCAAUCCACCAGGUUUGUGGUAAUUCGUUAGAGCAUCCCUAGGAAACCAACACAGCAUCACUGCCAUAGGCCCCCGGCCUGGCUCAGCGCCCACUCAGCCCCACUCUGGCGGGAAGGAAAGGGCCCCACCUGCAGGCGAUUCUCCAGAUGGGCAGUUUAACGUGGCCUGUUAGGAUCAGAGCUAGUUUCUCCCAACCGACAUCUUUGAAUUCUGCAUCUACUAGGCCCAUUUCCCACAUAAGGAGAAGGACCCUUCUGUCCUCUGCUUGAAAGGCUGUAUUCCAAGAAGGGCUGAGUUUGGUAGUGACAAAUACUGGUCCUUGGGCAGUGUCUGGCCGGCGGUGCCAUGCAAGAUGAGUCCCUACAGCUUCAUGCCACUCCGGCGCCGUGAGUCCUUCCGGGCAAUGGGGCUGAAGUUCACAAUCUCCUUGUAGAUGUGCUC
RNAcentral lists this long non-coding RNA (8194 nucleotides) under Homo sapiens (human). RNAcentral's name for it is "non-protein coding lnc-SLC26A8-1:7". Lineage: Eukaryota; Metazoa; Chordata; Mammalia; Primates; Hominidae. The record is from RNAcentral.